UACGUAGGUGGCAAGCGUUGUCCGGAUUUACUGGGCGUAAAGGAUGCGUAGGCGGACAUUUAAGUCAGAUGUGAAAUACCCGAGCUUAACUUGGGUGCUGCAUUUGAAACUGGGUGUCUAGAGUGCAGGGGAGGUAAGUGGAAUUCCUAGUGUAGCGGUGAAAUGCGUAGAGAUUAGGAAGAACACCAGUGGCGAAGGCGACUUACUGGACUGUAACUGACGCUGAGGCAUGAAAGCGUGGGGAGCAAACAGG
This 253-nucleotide ribosomal RNA is filed under the name uncultured bacterium. Its description in RNAcentral is "partial 16S ribosomal RNA". It matches the Rfam family "Bacterial small subunit ribosomal RNA", at positions 524 to 776 of the family's 1533-position model. The record is from RNAcentral.